UAUUUGAUCAUUUUAGUAUUAAGUUUGUGAAGCAGGAUAAAUAAAACAAAAUAAACAAUAUUAUCUGAGUUACUGAAAUAAUUCAAGCUGGUUGGAAUGUGAAGUCGAUUGUCUUUAAAUAACCUGGUUUAUUGUGGAAAAUUAUUUUUAGCUACAGCUGUUCGUGAUCUACGCCAAAUUGGUCCAUUAAUGGCUUGUGAAAUAUUCAAAAAUUGCUAAGCUCAUAAAUACGCGACGCAUUGGUUUUCAAUUUGAACACAUGUUUGGGCCAAGUAAGUAAGCCAUUUGUAUACGGGAACGGGUAUUGCCUGCUCCUGUCUCAUGUUUGCCAAUAAGCCAUUGAUACUUUAAUGUAUGCACUGUUGGGUGACGGUUUACGUUGGCUCACUUCAGGAUUUGUAUUGGUUCCGAUUAUGUGAGUGUGAGUCAGUCUCGGCUUUAUGAUUGCGAGUACACAUGACAUACAUAUAUUAUUGGCGGUCGAAUAAAGCCACUCGUCGCGUGUGUACGUUUAUUUAUUCGAAUAUUAUUCAAACAAAGGCGAGAGUGAGUGGGAUGCAGCAAAUAUGCUCUCUUAAAAUGCAAUCGAUUAUCUUUUACUUCCUUAUACGUACAUAUAAAUAUACACGAAUAUUAUGUAGAUUUGUACUAAUAGAUGCCCCUAUAAACGUGAAAUUGAAUCAAUGUUAAUUCGAUCUAAAACACAUUGCGAAGCUGAAUCAAAUCUAUUUACAAUGUAAUUAAUGAGUACCAAGUAAAGUGACAACAGUCGAUGCCUCAAUAAACAACACGAGGACGAGGGCUCUCAAAUGACAGCCAGUGCGUAGAUGAAUAAAUAAGCCAUGACCACGCCCACAACACAUACUAAGCAUACAUGCACAUAGGAUACGCGUAUCCGUAUGUACGAACACAGAUGCGAUAUACGAGCAGUAAUAUCGUAUGAAUGUGGAACGCCCAUGGGAGGAAUAAAGAACUCGUACUCGUAUAUUCGUCACCAUUUGGUUACGCUAGCUCUGGGAUCAAAUCGAAAAUGGUAAUGAGCCCUCCAGCCUUUUGGCAUUCCGAUGAAUAGAACUGAGCCGCACAAGAAUACCGUAUACGCUCAUAUACAUACAUAUAUCCACGUUUAUAGGUAUUUACAUACAGACAUUCACAUUCUCUCAUAGUAAAUUUAUGUAUUGA
Molecule: long non-coding RNA, 1182 nt
Organism: Drosophila sulfurigaster albostrigata
Lineage: Eukaryota; Metazoa; Arthropoda; Insecta; Diptera; Drosophilidae
Exons: 3
Source: RefSeq, a predicted model, not a curated record